AAAUUGAAGAGUUUGAUCAUGGCUCAGAUUGAACGCUGGCGGCAGGCCUAACACAUGCAAGUCGAACGGUAGCACAGAGAGCUUGCUCUCGGGUGACGAGUGGCGGACGGGUGAGUAAUGUCUGGGAAACUGCCUGAUGGAGGGGGAUAACUACUGGAAACGG
RNAcentral lists this ribosomal RNA (163 nucleotides) under Salmonella enterica. Its description in RNAcentral is "partial 16S ribosomal RNA". It matches the Rfam family "Bacterial small subunit ribosomal RNA", at positions 1 to 159 of the family's 1533-position model. Lineage: Bacteria; Pseudomonadati; Pseudomonadota; Gammaproteobacteria; Enterobacterales; Enterobacteriaceae. The record is from RNAcentral. RNAcentral also lists the same sequence under 1 other name.